Non-coding RNA from Rattus norvegicus (Norway rat), 78 nucleotides. Lineage: Eukaryota; Metazoa; Chordata; Mammalia; Rodentia; Muridae. The record is from Rfam.
GGGAAUUUAGCUCAGUGGUAGAGCGCUUGCCUAGGAAGCGCAAGGCCCGCAAGGCCCUGGGUUCGGUCCCCAGAUCCG